This 786-nucleotide small RNA is filed under the name Pan troglodytes (chimpanzee). RNAcentral's name for it is "processed transcript". The record is from RNAcentral. Lineage: Eukaryota; Metazoa; Chordata; Mammalia; Primates; Hominidae.
CUGUUACUUACCAACGGGGACCAACACGCAGCAGCCGCUGCCGCCGCCGCGGGAGCCGCUGCCCGAACUCCCGGCCCGAACUCCAGACCUGAGCAUGCAGAAUUCCGAGGGUGGAGCGGAUUCGCCAGCGUCUGUGGCUCUGCGUCCCUCGGCGGCAGCCCCGCCUGUGCCAGCCUCCCCGCAGAGGGUGUUGGUCCAGGCAGCCAGCUCCAAUCCCAAAGGGGCCCAGAUGCAGCCGAUCUCCCUCCCCAGAGUUCAGCAGGUACCCCAGCAGGUGCAGCCGGUGCAGCACGUGUAUCCUGCCCAGGUGCAGUACGUGGAAGGGGGAGACGCCGUCUACACCAAUGGAGCCAUACGAACAGCCUACACCUACAACCCCGAGCCUCAGAUGUACGCCCCCAGCAGCACGGCUUCUUACUUCGAGGCCCCAGGCGGCGCCCAGGUGACCGUGGCAGCCUCGUCCCCGCCAGCGGUCCCCUCUCACAGCAUGGUGGGCAUCACCAUGGAUGUCGGGGGGAGCCCCAUCGUCUCCAGCGCGGGAGCCUAUCUCAUCCACGGGGGGAUGGACAGCACCAGACACUCCCUGGCCCACACCUCCCGCUCAUCGCCAGCCACGGUGACCCUGACGUCCUCCUUGGCUUGAAGCAAGGGUAGCUAUGAGAGAAGGCAGAACCACCAUGGUCGGAGGCCGUGGGAGAAGCAGUUACCCUCUCAUUCUUGAACUCAGCUCCGCUCGCCUGCUCUCUGAAAUACACACUCAACCUGCUCUUUGCAGAAGUGUCAAGU